RNAcentral lists this ribosomal RNA (253 nucleotides) under uncultured bacterium. Its description in RNAcentral is "partial 16S ribosomal RNA". It matches the Rfam family "Bacterial small subunit ribosomal RNA", at positions 524 to 776 of the family's 1533-position model. The record is from RNAcentral.
UACAGAGGGUGCGAGCGUUACUCGGAAUUACUGGGCGUAAAGCGUGCGUAGACGGUUAUUUAAGUCGGGUGUGAAAGCCCCGGGCUCAACCUGGGAAUUGCAUUCGAGACUGAAUAGCUAGGGUACGGUAGAGGGAAGCGGAAUUUCCGGUGUAGCGGUGAAAUGCGUAGAUAUCGGAAGGAACAUCAGUGGCGAAAGCGGCUUCCUGGACCAGUACCGGCGUUCAGGCACGAAAGCGUGGGGAGCAAACAGG